Molecule: ribosomal RNA, 253 nt
Filed under: uncultured bacterium
Lineage: Bacteria
Description: partial 16S ribosomal RNA
Rfam family: Bacterial small subunit ribosomal RNA
Source: RNAcentral
UACGUAGGGGGCAAGCGUUGUCCGGAAUCAUUGGGCGUAAAGAGCGUGUAGGCGGCCCGGUAAGUCCGCUCUGAAAGUCCAGGGCUCAACCCUGGAAAGCGGGUGGAUACUGCCGGGCUAGAAUCCGGAAGAGGCGAGUGGAAUUCCUGGUGUAGCGGUGGAAUGCGCAGAUAUCAGGAGGAACACCAAUAGCGAAGGCAGCUCGCUGGGACGGUAUUGACGCUAAGGCGCGAAAGCGUGGGGAGCAAACAGG